Lupinus albus (white lupine) is the source of this 218-nucleotide non-coding RNA. Lineage: Eukaryota; Viridiplantae; Streptophyta; Magnoliopsida; Fabales; Fabaceae. The record is from the annotation of a GenBank genome assembly.
AUUUUAACUUAUGGCUAGUUAUUUAGAGAUUCAUCAUCGGAAGGUACCAACACAAGUUCAACAAUAUGGAAGUUUCCCUCUUCCUAUGCAUCAGCUAGCAUUUAUAAAAAAUUGAGCAUCUGAACCUUGUAAGGUUACCUGGAUACACAGAGCAUGGAGAGGAGAAGACUGUUGUUGUCGAAUAUGUUAGUAAUGGAAAAUUUAGAGAACAUGUAUAU